This 253-nucleotide ribosomal RNA is filed under the name uncultured bacterium. Its description in RNAcentral is "partial 16S ribosomal RNA". It matches the Rfam family "Bacterial small subunit ribosomal RNA", at positions 524 to 776 of the family's 1533-position model. The record is from RNAcentral.
UACGGAGGGUGCAAGCGUUGUUCGGAAUCACUGGGCGUAAAGGGCGCGCAGGCGGUUUGAAUAGUCAGAUGUGAAAGCCCACGGCUUAACCGUGGAAGUGCAUUUGAAACUGUCAGACUUGAGUACCAGAGGGGAAAGUGGAAUUCCCGGUGUAGAGGUGAAAUUCGUAGAUAUCGGGAGGAAUACCGGUGGCGAAGGCGACUUUCUGGCUGGAUACUGACGCUGAGGCGCGAAAGCGUGGGGAGCAAACAGG